AAACGGAUCGACCAGGCUCGAUCUCCCAACCAGACCCGCGUGGCCCCUGCGGCUGCAACGGGUAGCACUUGACGGCCGUCCGCACUUCCUCCUUUGUCUUUCCCUUAUUCCUUACGUUUCUCCCUUGCUCACUCUUCCCUCCUUACCCUAUCGGGGCUGCAGACCCACGGAGGCCACGUUCACUCCUGCCCGUCGGCCUUGGCAAGCGCGGGCCCCUUGUCGCGCAGAGCGGAGGGUCCUGGGAGAUCCUGGGUUGGCCCAGCCACACCUUGCGCCGCCGCCGUUUCUGCUGGACACCAGGAGAAAACCACGGCAGCUGCAGCCACCAACUUCCCCUACAUAGCCCCACGGGAUCGGAUCCCACUCCCCACUCACCGCCAGACCGGAAGCAGGAAGGCGGAAGUCGCGGCCUUUGCGUCCCGCCCACAGGCGACCCGAGCCGCCAGCCGGGCGUGAGUCCAGGCUGGAGCCCGAGACUGCCACGUCCUGCGGGGACCAAGUGGUGGGCGAGGAGGCGUGGAGCGGCUUCAGGACUCGAGGAGCGGUUCCGAAGCAGCUAGGGACUUUUGCCUUUGCCCCCCGAGGUCGAUCGGAAGACAACCCCCAUCCCCUGCUGUAGCGGGACAGUUGGAGGGUCAUGGGUGGGUGAAGUGUUUGGCUGAGGGAAACUCAGACCAAAGAGCAGCGGCAAGAAAGCAGUUGGGUCCCCACAAAACGCCCGAAGUCAAGGUUCUCCAUCAUCUUCCUCCACCUGAUUCGUAGAGACCUCUGGACAUCUGAGCCUAAGCAGGGCCACUAAAUGAGAGAGAAUCCCAUCACUGAAAAGCAACAAUGAAUAUAUUAAGGACCACAGGAGAGAUAGAAGAAAUAUUGCAACUGAAGCUGCUAGAUGGUUAUGAUUAUCUGAAUAGGUGUGAUCUUGACUUUAGCGAAUUAACAGGGAAUGGAAUCUCUCCACGUUGCCCAAGCAGGUCUCCAUGUAGGUGAAAUUAUCUUGGACUCUCCAGACAAGACCAGCCACCAGCUGAAUACCAGUGGGUGACCCCAGUCAAUCACAUGGAACAGAAGAAUCACUCAGCUGAGCCCUGCCAGAAUUCUUGAUCC
RNAcentral lists this long non-coding RNA (1104 nucleotides) under Homo sapiens (human). Its description in RNAcentral is "long non-coding RNA NONHSAT202644.1". Lineage: Eukaryota; Metazoa; Chordata; Mammalia; Primates; Hominidae. The record is from RNAcentral.